This is a long non-coding RNA of Girardinichthys multiradiatus, 3336 nucleotides long. RefSeq lists it as uncharacterized. Lineage: Eukaryota; Metazoa; Chordata; Actinopteri; Cyprinodontiformes; Goodeidae. The transcript is spliced from 3 exons. The record is from RefSeq and is a predicted model, not a curated record.
CUCUUUGAAGAAACCUUCAUAAUAUGAGCUACAACAACAUUUAAUUUCCCUUUGGGAUUAAUAAAGUAUUUUUGAAUUGAAUUGAAUUGAAUUGAAUUGAUUGAGGCCACUUUGUUUUCAUCAGGUCUGUACAGAAUAUCAGUGAAUCACCAACCAGAAGCUAAAGACUGAACUGUAUGCUUCAUUGGACAGUCACACAAACAGUUUGCUGGCUUUAGCCUGAGGGAUGCAGGGGAAAUCCGAUCAGUUCCCAGAAGAUCUCAUCAGUUUUAAAGACAUACUCUGAGCAAACACAAAACAUCAUUGUUGACCGGGUUGCAUCUCUUCGGUGUCUACCACUGCAUCUUCAAGAUGACACAGAGCUCUUCUACACCUGUAAGGAGGGUGAAGACCAAGGGUCUACCAUUAAGAAAUCUGCUGCCAUUGUGUCCAUUAUUGGUGACAGCGAGGAUAUGAACACGGUGCCAUUCCAUCCUCAAGAAGUCAAGGUCUUUCUCCAGGAGCAGGUUGUUUUGCAAGGGACUAAAUGCUGGCCAGAUGCAAUAAUGCAUUUAUAUGGCUUGCUUAAUGUUAUCCAGGCUAAAUAUCCAAAAGCAAUGACCUACACAUUUGAGUUUAUUAAGAAAGUCCUCCUGAAUGUAGAUGGCGAAAAACCCAAACCAAAGACACUGUCUUUAAAACAUAAGCUGUAAUGUACAAAGGCAGUGUCACAAAUGAAUUAAAGGUCUGUUGAGGUUAGAAGUGACCCAGGUCAUGGUUAUACAGCAAAAGUUCAAAGCAACAAACAAAAGGCCCACUUAUCCCCCAUUUAACAACACAAUCCUUGUUUCCAUAGUCAUUGUUUGCAAAGAAACUCUUGUAAAUGCUCACAGUUGGCAAUAGAUGGUCAUUUAGACCACCUGAUCCUAUGGUUUUCCAAUGACUAGUUAAAACAGCCAGAAGCACUAACAAACCAUUUGGAUGGAUCAUGGUUACUUGUACCUAAUUAAAACUAAACAGCUACCAUUCAGUCAAGCAAAAGAAGCUCUUCUGAUGAGGGACGAAAGGUCUUCAAGACACCUUAACCAAUCCAGUUGAUCCUUUAAAUAAGCAAGUAGGAAGUGUUUGAGUGUUACUUUACAUAAUUUGUCCAUCAGAGAAACAAAGUGACUGCAGAUUUUAGCAGAUAUGUGGCUUGGUGGAUAGUAAUGUUCAUCUGUUGCAGACUAAUGAAGACCCACAGUAGGCAUUAUGUAUCCGUACAUGUGUGUUCUGACCAGCUUAAGUUGGGUAAUUGUUUCAGACAAACGGGUCUUAUUUUCUAUGGCCCAAUAUGUGUGACACAUUCAUUAGCGCGCACACUUUUGUAAAAGCACAUAUUGUAUUGUGAAGAGAAAAUAUACAUUUGAGCUAACAAAAAUGAGUUGUUUGCUAAACUCUAUUUCUGCACUUGCCACUCAGUGCCUGUGCAGAACUCCUUCUCCGUGCUCGCUGACUUCUAACUCUGAGAGUCUACUUUUAACUCCGUUCUCGCUCAACUUGUCACAGCUUUACAGUGUGCCGCAAAAAUCAGUCGAUCACCGGCUCAGAGAAGGUAAACCUGAUUGGCUGUUUGGUCUCCAAUUGGUUGCUAGCUUCCAAGAAAAAGAUGGAGAGAAUUUGGAUGGCACAAUGCAUUCUGGGUGUUGAUUACAUCAGAUGCAAACAGGUAGUAUUUUUUUGUUAUACUAAUUAAAGUCAGAUUUUGCUAAAUGUUUUGGUGUAAAAUGGUGGUCAUAAUAGUUUAAUUAUCUCCCAAGCCUGGUCAAUGCAAGGACUCAUCCUUUUUUAGUUGUCCUUGGUUAGACUAAUUAAUACACAAAACAAUCAUACUUUCUUAAUUACCAAAAAAAAAAGAGAAUACUAGCGCUGGUCAACUUGAGCGCCUUCGCUUAGGAAUUUGUCCCAUAUUGUGCCAUAAUUUUCUUUUUUCUAUAUUUUCUAUUUUUUAGGUUUGUUUUAAUUAGAAACUUAUAUUUAUUGUUUAGCUUUUUUUAAGCAGAGCGCACAGAUAUUUAUGUUUGUUGUUUAUUUCCAUCAUUGAGGUGUUAUAUUGUUGUUACAAUCUGCUAAAUAAAAUAGAUACAAUUUAGAAUAUAGUGACCUAAUGUUUUUUUUUAUUUUUAUUACAUAAUUAUAGAUUAGUAGUGAGAAUGUAGAGAUAACAUGGGAGUUUGUAUAAACAACUAAAUGUUCUGAUAUAUAACAAUUUAUUUCCUUCUAUAUAACUGUUAAUGUGUCCAUUUCUGUAAUAUAUAUUUAAUUUUGAGGUGUUUCCAAAAUGUUUUAAGAGUUACUUUAGAUAAGUGAAUUGCUAGCAGUAUUAACAUAAUGCUUUUAGUAGUUGGUGUAUGUUCAGAACAGUAGUUCACAUUAAGGUUUGAGUAUAUACAUUUGAAUUUGAGUUGUUAAAUUGCCUAUAAUAGUUUUUACACUUCAUUAAAUAAAGUUUAGGUUAAAAACACAAACAUUUUGUGUCCUCAAAAACCAUUAAUAGUUCCGGUGUAAAUAUUAGAUAUUUAGUGUAGAAAGCAUGAAAUAUAUUGGUCAUAAAUUAAUUGUAAAACUUUUUAAAACAAUUGAAUAGUUUUUAUGUAACUCUACUAAAAAGACAUGGGUCCAAAUGGCAGAAAACAUCCUCUAAACAAGUUCAACUAAAUGUGUAAGAUUGACUUAAUUGUAAUAUUACGUUGAGCAUAACAAAAAAAGUUAUUUUGUAGCAUUUUCUUUUGUGUCUAGAACACUGAUUUGAUUGCGUUGUAAAACCAAAACUUUUUAAGCUUAACGUACACAAUAAAAUGCCUUAAACAACAUGAACAAUUUGGUUCAAAGGUACAAUCCCAAAUGUGUCAUCAUAGAGCAAAAUAUUGUUAAUUGCACAAAAAUAAAUACUUGUUGCAGACUGAAUAUAUUAAUGUUAGGCUGACUAUAAGAAUUCUGUUUAGUGAAAUCAAUGUGUUUGUGUUGAAGAGAUAUUAAUACAUUUAUAUAUAAUGGCUCAAAAGGUUUGUGUUAUGUCCACUAGAUAUUCCCACUUAAAUGACAUACUAUUACAAUGUUAGUAAAACAAAAACUAUUUUAUCAUUUGACUGAAAAAAACUGUUGAGCUGACAGAAAUCUCCGUCAGACAAGGGUCACAUUAAACAUUUAAUUUGUGUUGGUUGCAUUCAUAACUUUCAUGUUACCGUACUCAAAGGUUUUGUGUGCAAGCUGUUUCCAAAAUUAUUUUGAGUAGAGUGAGCAAAUUUGGAUUUAGCUGAACAAUGAAAAAUUUUGUGUUCAUUUAACCUAAAAAUAACAAUUUAUGUACGUAAAAUA